RNAcentral lists this long non-coding RNA (514 nucleotides) under Ananas comosus (pineapple). Its description in RNAcentral is "long non-coding RNA (ACOM_LNC026490)". The record is from RNAcentral. Lineage: Eukaryota; Viridiplantae; Streptophyta; Magnoliopsida; Poales; Bromeliaceae.
AAAUACUGUUCUUAUGGACUGUUGAUGUGUUUAUAUCAGCUGGGCUAGAGAGUUUUUACGAUCAGAGAGAUAUCUAUGUUAUCGAGUAGUUUUAAAUGAUGAGACUUUCAAAUCGAUGAUCGAUUUCGUUAAAUUUGAUUUAGAAUAUUUGAAGUGUUUAUUUUUCAAAAUCAUUUAUCUAGUGAUUGAAAGGACUCAAAAUUAAUGGCUGAAAAUAAAAAUAUCAUAAAGAAAGGGAGCCUUACCUUUUUCUAUUUUAUACCAAAGAUAUCGAUCUUGUUUUAUAUAAGAUAUAAAAUUUUAAUCAAAAUUUUACAUAAUAUAAAUAUUUUUAGUACACCAUUAAACUUACAAAUAAUGCAUCUCGGCCUAGAGUAUUUGAUGUAGUUAGUGUUAAAUAUAAAAAUAUAAAAACAUCGUUCUCUAACAGUUUAAGCUUUUAGAGUACAACAGUUAAUUGUUUAACAGUUAGGAAAUAAAUUUUGUAAUUUUUUGAUAUAAUUUAAAACUAGUG